UAUGGCCACAUCAUGCUGAAACACAGGUUUCCCAUACAAUCACCAAAGUUAAGCAAUGUCAAACCUGGUCAGUACAUAGAUGGGUGACCAUUUGGGAAUGACAGGUGCUGUAA
Non-coding RNA from Acanthosepion pharaonis, 113 nucleotides. The record is from the annotation of a GenBank genome assembly. Lineage: Eukaryota; Metazoa; Mollusca; Cephalopoda; Sepiida; Sepiidae.